RNAcentral lists this microRNA (24 nucleotides) under Ananas comosus (pineapple). Its description in RNAcentral is "microRNA s1168_c016b". The record is from RNAcentral. Lineage: Eukaryota; Viridiplantae; Streptophyta; Magnoliopsida; Poales; Bromeliaceae.
GAUACACUUUAAACCACAGGGUAC